GAUGAAGAACGUAGCAGAAUGCGAUAAGUAAUGUGAAUUGCAGAAUUCAGUGAAUCAUCGAAUCUUUGAACGCACAUUGCGCCCGCUGGUAUUCCGGCGGGCAUGCCUGUUCGAGCGUCAUUUCAACCCUCAAGCCCCCGGGUUUGGUGUUGGGGAUCGGCUCUGCCCUUCUGGGCGGUGCCGCCCCCGAAAUACAUUGGCGGUCUCGCUGCAGCCUCCAUUGCGUAGUAGCUAACACCUCGCAACUGGAACGCGGCGCGGCCAUGCCGUAAAACCCCAACUUCUGAAUGUUGACCUCGGAUCAGGUAGGAAUACCCGCUGAACUUAAGCAUAUCAAUAAGCGGAGGA
RNAcentral lists this unclassified non-coding RNA (348 nucleotides) under soil metagenome. Its description in RNAcentral is "partial contains 5.8S ribosomal RNA, internal transcribed spacer 2, and large subunit ribosomal RNA". The stretch from base 1 to 120 matches the Rfam family "5.8S ribosomal RNA", at positions 35 to 154 of the family's 154-position model. The record is from RNAcentral.